This 802-nucleotide ribosomal RNA is filed under the name uncultured bacterium. RNAcentral's name for it is "bacterial SSU rRNA". It matches the Rfam family "Bacterial small subunit ribosomal RNA", at positions 8 to 796 of the family's 1533-position model. The record is from RNAcentral.
AGAGUUUGAUCCUGGCUCAGGACGAACGCUGGCGGCGCGCUUAAUACAUGCAAGUCGAGCGAGAACCAUGGCUUCGGCCAUGGGGACAGCGGCGAACGGGUGAGUAACACGUGGGUAAUCAACCCCCGACACCGGGAUAGCCCAGGGAAACUUGGAUUAAUACCGGAUGCUCCAUCCGGCUCUCGAGCCGGCUGGAAAAGGGUAGCUUCGGCCUCCGGUCGGGGACGAGCCCGCGGCGGAUUAGCUUGUUGGUGAGGUAAGAGCUCACCAAGGCGACGAUCCGUAGCUGGUCUGAGAGGACGAUCAGCCACACUGGGACUGAGACACGGCCCAGACUCCUACGGGAGGCAGCAGUAGGGAAUCUUGCGCAAUGGGCGAAAGCCUGACGCAGCGACGCCGCGUGAGGGAAGAAGGCCUUCGGGUUGUAAACCUCUUUCAGGAGGGACGAAGCCACUCGGGUUAAUAGCCCAGAGGGUGACGGUACCUCCAGAAGAAGCCCCGGCUAACUACGUGCCAGCAGCCGCGGUAAUACGUAGGGGGCAAGCGUUGUCCGGAUUUAUUGGGCGUAAAGAGCGUGUAGGCGGCCUUACAGGUCAGCUGUGAAAACUCGAGGCUCAACCUCGAGACGUCGGUUGAAACCGUAUGGCUAGAGUCCGGAAGAGGAGAGUGGAAUUCCCGGUGUAGCGGUGAAAUGCGCAGAUAUCGGGAAGAACACCCGUGGCGAAGGCGGCUCUCUGGGACGGUACUGACGCUGAGACGCGAAAGCGUGGGGAGCGAACAGGAUUAGAUACCCUAGUAGUCC